This 492-nucleotide ribosomal RNA is filed under the name uncultured bacterium. RNAcentral describes it as "partial 16S ribosomal RNA". It matches the Rfam family "Bacterial small subunit ribosomal RNA", at positions 29 to 507 of the family's 1533-position model. The record is from RNAcentral.
AGUGAACGCUGGCGGUAGGCCUAACACAUGCAAGUCGAACGGCAGCACAGUAAGAGCUUGCUCUUACGGGUGGCGAGUGGCGGACGGGUGAGGAAUACAUCGGAAUCUACUUUUUCGUGGGGGAUAACGUAGGGAAACUUACGCUAAUACCGCAUACGACCUACGGGUGAAAGCAGGGGAUCUUCGGACCUUGCGCGAUUGAAUGAGCCGAUGUCGGAUUAGCUAGUUGGGGGGGUAAAGGCCCACCAAGGCGACGAUCCGUAGCUGGUCUGAGAGGAUGAUCGGCCACACGGGAACGGAGACACGGUCCAGACUCCUACGGGAGGCAGCAGUGUGGAAUAUUGGACAAUGGUCGCAAGCCUGAUCCAGCCAGACCGCGUGGGUGAAGAAGGCCUUCGGGUUGUAAAGCCCUUUUGUUGGGAAAGAAAAGCAGCAGGUUAAUACCCCGCUGUUCUGACGGUACCCAAAGAAUAAGCACCGGCUAACUUCGUG